Molecule: long non-coding RNA, 2917 nt
Filed under: Paramuricea clavata
Lineage: Eukaryota; Metazoa; Cnidaria; Anthozoa; Malacalcyonacea; Plexauridae
Source: RNAcentral
UUUUGGAGUCGCUGACUCUUUAACAGCUAUCAGCACCGACGAAUUUUUACUUUGACUGAAUUAAGGUCGGCAAAUAUUUGCCAACCUGGGAGGUUGAUAGGUCGGUAUUUAGGUCGACAUGGCCGAAUGCUGACCUCAUUUUGGAGGGCUGCAUUCACACAAUUUUUUUUACUGCCAAGGUGGACUGAUUGGUGCAUAUACAACCAGUGGUACAUUCAAAUCGGUGUGUUCAAUAUUACAAGAGUUAACUCCAAUCGAGAAGGAGAAAUUGCAUCGAUCAAUCACGAUGGCACUUGGAGAUGUCGGCAUGCUGGAUGUUGCUGCUGUGGGAGUACUUAUAGCAACAGAUCAAGAAUACAAACAGCAAAUGAUUGGGGCGAUGAUGGAGUACUUUAGGGAUGAAUUACAAAUGGAAGUUGUUGAGUGACAUGGAAGUAAAGUGGCAAUCUUGUGAGAUGCUUCGAUGUUUUCGAGUGAUCUGAUUUCAAAUAACACCAAAUAUUAAAUUUAUUUAUUAGAAUAACUGUAAAGCCGCAAAAAUAUACAGCACCAUAUAGAACACUUACAACAUCUAGUUUGUGCGCACAAUUUUUUACCCACUUUGCCCCCUACUUUGUUAUUUUACUCUUCAAAAUGUUUAAGAACGAACUUUCUCUAACCAAGCCUCAUUAAUAAUAUAUUUUGUGUUCAAUGUAUAGACCACAGUAAUAGUUUUUUUUUAAUGUGUUUAUUACAUCAACAAACGACUUUUCCAAGAUUUGCUCCAUCUUCAGGUAAAUAAGAUUACAAUUUGAAUUUUUAAACAUUUUUUUAUUUUACUCUGUCUAAUGCUGAAAUUAGGCAAAUUGUUAGUUUUUUUCUUGUGCUCAUUUUUUCAGCAUCCUUUUAACUGUUCCGCUGGAGGUAUACUCACUGCUAUUGUUUAUAACCAUUAUUAUUUAGGGGCUGUUCAUAUGAGCCCUGCUCUGCCGGGCUGGCCCAGCUAGCCGGGCUGGUUUUUCAAGUGCCGAGAUCCCGCCUCACAUAUUGUUUGUAUAUUAAUUUAGGAUUGGGUUCAUGUUAGAAGCAGGCCAGCCCGGUUUGCCGGGAUCUCGCUUGAGCGAGGCGAGAUCCCGGCUUGCCGGGCUCAUAUGAAUGCACAACCGGGCUAGCCUGGCAAGCCGGGCUGGAAAUUUGCGUGCUUUAUGCCCUUUAUUCCACUGAUAAACAGUCUAAAAUGUCCAAAACUAUAGGAAUUUAUUGAAAUUAAACCUCCUGAAGCUGUUGCCGUCGACAAAAAUAAACUUUUGCCAAAUAAACACGAAUUUUAUUUUCCCGCUAAAAUAUCGCGGGGAAUCGUUACUAUGAAUAGAUAUGAUUGCCGGGCUAGCCCGCCUCAUGUGAAAGCAAAGCGGGCCAGCUCGGCAAAGCGGGCCAGCUUGGUUAACCGGGCUCAUACUGUAUGAACAGGCCCUUACUCUGUCAAAUGCCAGAUGAUUUUACUUGUCAAGGGAUAGUAUCGGGAUUCAGUGGGCUAAUAUGACCUAUAAUUCAUAGCUUUCAUAUUGGUACUGGCUUGAAAUACUGUACAGCAACACGACAAUUUUUAUGUUUUCAACACACACUGUUUAAUUAAAUACACGUGCAAAAUAGUUAAUUUUCUAUUAAAUACUAAAUUUAGUUUGUAGAUCACUAUAAAUAAUUAUCUGCUCUGAAUGGUGUUCUAUAUGGAUAUUUUCUGCUAAAGUUUAUACUAGUGUACUGUAUAUACAUUUCUGUAACAUUUUAGCUAGCACGUCGUUGCGUGUUGGAAUUCUCUAUAAUAUUAUGUGCUAUUAAUUAAUCUAGAGAAAUUCAUCCUUUUGCUAUUUGAUCUAUUUGCUAGUAUAUAGUCCACAAAUCCACAAAUGAAAGCUUGUAUAUGGCAAUUAAUGCAAGGCCAGCGAGAGAGGGGGGGGGGGCAGAGGGGGAAAAUACCCGGGGGCUGGAGUGCUCAGGAAGGGGCCUGGAAAUCGACGUGAUCGAUCAUAAAACGUACCAAAUGUGAAAUAGAUGAUUUUCCGAUCGUUUUCGCAGCAAAAACAGUUAGCUGAACAUCGUUCACAUUGCGUUUUUAUCAGUUAUGCGGCGAUUUCUUGCGAGUAAUUUGCUGGUAAUUCUCUCGUUGAUUGCGAUUAAAAAUAGACUUUGGCGUGGCCAUACGCCAGCGGGAGAGUCGAGAGGGACAGGGGGCCCGUGUUCACCAAUUCGUCAUUUUGUCCCGGGGCCCGUGGUUGGCUCCCGCCGGCCUUGAAUGGACCAUUUGCAUUAUAGACUAAAUUUUGAUCUAGACAAAAAUUUCAUCACAGCUUGAAAGAGCAUCACAGAAUUAGUAAUAUUGCAAAGUUUCGUUGCGAAAUGUUGUAAAAUGCGGAUAAUAUAGCCAUGCGAAGUUUGCCGUUUUUCAGUCAUUUUGUAUUUAAUACGCACGGGAAAUUGACAGCCCAAUCGGGUGUUGGGGCAUCAAUUUCCCGUUUGUAAUCUAAAAUGACUGAAAAUUGCAAACUUCGCAAGGCUAUAUCAUCCGCAUUUUACAACAUUUCAUAACGAAACUUUGGAAUAUUACUCAUUUUGUGAUGCUCUUUCAAGCUGUGAUGAAAUUUUUGUCCAGAUCAAAAUUUAGUCUAUAAUGCAAAUGGUCCAUUAAUGAGGUAAAUUUCCACAUUCACACUGUCACUGCCUGGUAUGGUAAUUAGCGAUGGGCCGAUACCAAAUAUCGAUAUUAGAACAACGAAUUAAUACAUUUGAUACUUGCGAAAAGUAUUGGAGGUAAUUUCGAUGCAGCUUGUUGAGAUCAAGAUGGAUUUCGGCUAUUUUUAUGGUUGUUUUAGGCAAUACAAAAAAUUCAACCCUAACCCACAAUCAAUCCUAACCCCAAAGUUUCAAAUCUGCAAAUUGA